GACGAACGCUGGCGGCGUGCCUAAUACAUGCAAGUCGAGCGCUGAAGCUUGGUACUUGUACCAAUUGGAUGAGCAGCGAACGGGUGAGUAACGCGUGGGGAAUCUGCCUUUGAGCGGGGGACAACAUCGGGAAACGAAUGCUAAUACCGCAUAAUAACUUUAAACACAAGUUUCAAGUUUGAAAGAUGCAUUUGCAUCACUCAAUGAUGAUCUCGCGUUGUAUUAGGUAGUUGGUUAGGUAAACGCCCACCAAAGGGAUGGUACAUAGGCGACCUGGAGAGGUUGACCGCCAACAUGGGAACUGAGAAACGGCCAAGACUCCUAGGGGAGGAAGAAGAGGGGAAUAUUGGACAAGGGGCGAAAGCUGGACGGGGCAAGGCGGGGGGGGUGAGGAAGGUUUUCGGUCGGAAAACUCUGUUGGUAGGGAAGGAAGAUAGGGAGAGUGAAAAGCGCAUCAAGUGACGGUACCUAACCAGAAAGCGACGGCUAACUACGUG
This 497-nucleotide ribosomal RNA is filed under the name uncultured bacterium. RNAcentral's name for it is "partial 16S ribosomal RNA". It matches the Rfam family "Bacterial small subunit ribosomal RNA", at positions 28 to 507 of the family's 1533-position model. The record is from RNAcentral.